CCAAUGUGAUUUCGUCACACAUUGAGUUAGCCUCAGAGCCUUAAAUUGUGGGUGACUCCCCGACCAAUGGAAUUGAAAGACACAGAACAGAUCAAUAGCUAACUUUGAGAUGUUUGUCGUGUUGAGUAGCGGUAGAUCAGUUGCCGAGCUGAUC
Non-coding RNA from Acinetobacter guillouiae CIP 63.46, 154 nucleotides. The record is from Rfam. NCBI's taxonomy places the organism in Bacteria, Pseudomonadati, Pseudomonadota, Gammaproteobacteria, Moraxellales, Moraxellaceae.